ACACGCACACACACACACACACACACACACACACACACACCAUUACCUCUGCUUUACCAUGUUAUUAGACAUUGGUUUAACUCCAUUUAAGCAUUUAAACGUUAAAAGCAUUGCACUUGUACGACGUUGUAAUACUUUUUUUUUACCAGCCGAUGACGACGAAGUGAAAGACGAUGAACUUUGCUUAAACAGUCUUACAAAGUUGGAAGAUGAUUAUCGAGGUGUGUUUAAACCUUCGAAUUAUUUAAUAUUGUGUGUAUUCAUUAUUUUGUUUUAUAGAGGAUUUGCCGUAAGAUCCUAACGCGAUCGUUUUAACACAAUCGCAGUCUGGUGAGUCAAAUGAUUCUCAUUUUACAAGAAAAAAAACAUGCGGUAUACGAUACAUAUAUACAUAUAUUUACUUACAUCUCCGGCUCGCUGGUCUCCCUUAAAGCUGGCGGGUCCGUCAACGGCCGUUCCAGGCAGAGGAGAAGGCUUGAUUGUGCCAAAGACUCCAGACAUCGAAUCCUUGCUCCGAGGGGAAAUCAUCGAAAACGACGGUGAAUGUCCAACAGGCACCCGCUAUUGGUAACACUGGACAAGUCGGAUAUCCUUGCUUGGAUCCUUUUAAAGUUGCCCGAUAAACUGCUGAGAGUUGAUCUCUCCUCUUGUCCAAAGGUUUUUCGUUCAUUUUUACUUGUAAUACUGGCACUAGGGUUGAUGUAGUAGCUCCACAACAUAACCUUAAAGCCUGUGACUGGAUCCGGUCUAUUUUCCCAAGUCAUGUUUUUGAAGCAGAUUGGUAAAUAAUGCAUCCGUAAUCAAUAACAGAUGGAAUUAAAGUUAUAAA
Long non-coding RNA from Nerophis ophidion (straightnose pipefish), 829 nucleotides. RefSeq lists it as uncharacterized. Lineage: Eukaryota; Metazoa; Chordata; Actinopteri; Syngnathiformes; Syngnathidae. The transcript has 2 exons. The record is from RefSeq and is a predicted model, not a curated record.